CUCCCCGGCUCCGCGCAGCAGGCGGGCGGGGCGCACGGCGCGCGGCGCGCAGGGACACCCGGCUGCUCCGUGACCCCCGAAGAGUCCCGGGGUUCCACAGCCCGCUGUCUCUGCCCCCCCCCCCGGGGACACCCUCGGCCGUCCCGUGACCCUCUCGGGUCCCCUGGCCCCUCCCAGGUUCCCAGCUCCCGCCGCGAACGCGUGGGAGGGGCGUGACAGCUCGGGCGCCCCCGCCGAGCGGUGAUUCCCACGGUGCCGCCGGGGCUAUGCCCGGAAGCCCCUUCUAGAGUCCCCCGUCCCGCGGCCCGGGCGGGGGCGGCGCAGCAUGCUCGGCAUGAAGACCUGGUCGUCCCUGCUCCAGGAUCUCAGUAAGUGCCCGGCGCCC
This 385-nucleotide long non-coding RNA is filed under the name Marmota monax (woodchuck). The record is from RNAcentral. Lineage: Eukaryota; Metazoa; Chordata; Mammalia; Rodentia; Sciuridae.